RNAcentral lists this ribosomal RNA (449 nucleotides) under uncultured bacterium. RNAcentral's name for it is "bacterial SSU rRNA". It matches the Rfam family "Bacterial small subunit ribosomal RNA", at positions 28 to 478 of the family's 1533-position model. The record is from RNAcentral.
GAUGAACGCUGGCGGCGUGCUUAACACAUGCAAGUCGAACGGGAAAUAUUUCAUUGAGACUUCGGUGGAUUUGAUCUAUUUCUAGUGGCGGACGGGUGAGUAACGCGUGGGUAACCUGCCUUAUACAGGGGGAUAACAGUCAGAAAUGGCUGCUAAUACCGCAUAAGCGCACAGAGCUGCAUGGCUCAGUGUGAAAAACUCCGGUGGUAUAAGAUGGACCCGCGUUGGAUUAGCUUGUUGGUGGGGUAACGGCCCACCAAGGCGACGAUCCAUAGCCGGCCUGAGAGGGUGAACGGCCACAUUGGGACUGAGACACGGCCCAGACUCCUACGGGAGGCAGCAGUGGGGAAUAUUGCACAAUGGGGGAAACCCUGAUGCAGCGACGCCGCGUGAAGGAAGAAGUAUCUCGGUAUGUAAACUUCUAUCAGCAGGGAAGAUAGUGACGGUAC